Molecule: ribosomal RNA, 2496 nt
Filed under: Triticum aestivum (bread wheat)
Lineage: Eukaryota; Viridiplantae; Streptophyta; Magnoliopsida; Poales; Poaceae
Description: partial small subunit ribosomal RNA
Source: RNAcentral
AUGAUAGAAGACCUCUUGGAUGAAUUGAAUGGAGCAAAAAUCUUCACAAAACUUGAUCUGAGAAGUGGAUAUCAUCAAAUCAGAAUGAAAGAAGGGGACAUAGAGAAAACUGCUUUUAGCACACACAUUGGUCUAUUUGAAUUCUUAGUCAUGCCUUUUGGAGUGACAAAUGGGCCUCCCUCCUUUACAGAACUCAUGCAGACUGUAUUGGGGCCAUUACUGAGACACUGUGUGCUAGUUUUCUUUGAUGAUAUCCUCAUCUUUAGCAAGACCUACAAAGAACACUUGGAACAUGUAGCCCUGGUAUUAGAAGCACUCAGGAAACAUCAGCUCUAUGCUAAGCUCUCUAAGUGCACCUUUGCACAAAACAAAGUGAAGUAUUUGGGUUAUGUGGUGACAGACAAGGGAGUAUCCACAUAUCCUGCAAAAAUACAAGCCAUAGUAAAUUGGCCCACACCUCAGAAUGUGACACACCUGAGGAGUUUCUUGGGACUAGCAGGGUACUACAGGAGGUUUAUUCAGAAUUAUGGACUGAUUUGCAAGCCACUGUUUGAUGCAUUGAAAAAGGAAGGAUUUCAAUGGACUGACAGGCAAAUGACUGCUUUCCAACAACUAAAGACCAGGAUGACUUCUGCACCAGUCCUGGCCUUGCCUGAUUUCUCCCUCCCCUUUGUCCUCGAAGCUGAUGCUUAUGGAUAUGGAAUUGGAGCAGUGUUAAUGCAGAAGGGACAGCCCAUUGCUUAUAUGAGCAAAGCUCUAGGCCCUAAAGCUGCUGCUUGGUCCACAUAUGACAAAGAAGCACUGGCCAUCAUUGAAGCACUUAAGAAAUGGAAACAUUACUUUGCUUCAUCCUCUCUAAUCAUCAAAACUGACCAGCAGAGUUUGAAGUACAUACAUGAGCAAAAGAUAACUGAAGGGGUGCAGCACAAACUUCUCAUUAAACUCAUGGGGUACAAAUUCACAGUGGAGUACAAGAAAGGCAAGGAAAAUAGAGUAGCUGAUGCUCUCUCCAGAGUUAAAUAUGCCCUAAAUGCCCUGGGCUCUAGCUCUGCAAUUCCCUCUUGGAUUUCUGAAGUGGUGAACAGUUACAAAGGAGACACCAAAUGUGCUGAUCUAAUUGCUAAGCUAGCACUAGAUCCUACCGGCCAACCUCCUUAUACUCUCACUAGUGGAGUGCUCAGAUACAAGGGAAAAAUCAUGAUUGGCAACAACAGUGAACUGAAAAAUUCCUUGCUCACUUCUUUUCACAAGUCUGAAUUAGGUGGACACUCGGGGGAAAGAGCAACUUAUCAUAGGUUGAAAAUCCUUUUCACUUGGCCUGGCAUGAGGAAGGCAGUGCAAACCUUUGUCCGGCAGUGCCAUGUCUGUCAAUUGAACAAGGCCCAACAUGUGCAUCCCCCUGGCCUGUUGCAACCUCUUCCAGUUCCAGAUUUUGCUUGGACCCACAUUAGCAUGGACUUUGUGGAAGGGCUGCCAAAAUCUGAGCAUAAGGACAUGAUACUGCUUGUAGUUGAUCGUUUCACUAAAUAUGCUCACUUUGUAGCCAUGAGACACCCCAUCACUGUCAAGACAGUAGCCCAAGCUUUCACUGACAACAUAUUCAGAUUACAUGGACUGCCUACAGUGAUAGUAACUAACAGAGAUAGAAUAUUCACUAGUCAUCUCUGGCAACACUUGUUCAACAAAAUGGGAGUUAAAUUACACAUGAGUACUUCCUACCACCCCCAAUCUUAUGGGCAAACAGAAAGAGUAAAUCAGUGCCUUGAGAAUUAUUUAAGAUGCAUGGCUUUUGCUCAUCCCAAGAAAUGGCAUACUUGGCUUUCAAUGGCUGAAUGGUGGUACAACACCACUUUCCAUACAUCACUAAAAAUGACUCCUUCUCAAGCUCUGUAUGCCAGACCCCCUCCAAUGAUUGCUGAAUUGAUGUUACCACCAGUGGAAGGUGAGGAUCACCAAGCUGAAUUGGACAGGGAGACAAUAGACCAACAGAUCAAGGACAAUUUACUUAAAGCACAAGAGAGAAUGAAGUUCUUUGCUGACAAGAAACGAUCUGAGAGACAACUUGCUGUGGGUGAUAUGGUCUAUGUUAAAUUGCAACCAUACAGACACACCAGCUUGAGCAUACACAGACACCUGAAACUUCACUCCAAAUACUAUGGGCCCUUCCGUGUCAUGGAGAGAAUUGGAGCUGUGGCUUAUAGGCUCCUCCUGCCCGAGGGUUGUCAGCUUCACCCCACCUUUCAUGUAAGCCAACUCAAGAAGCACAUUGGUCCCGAAGCUGUACCUAACCCCAAAUUACCCCUAUUGGAUGAACAUGGUAACAUCCUCAUUCAGCCUGAAGCACUGCUUGAACGACGACUAAUCCCACGAGUCCAGGGAGACAUUAGCAUUCCAGUAGUGCAGUGGCGCAUCAAGUGGCUCAACCUACCAGUGGAAAAUGCCACCUGGGAAGAUGCGGCUUUUAUUCAGAAAAUUUUCCCUGCUUUUCAUCCUUGA